This 580-nucleotide unclassified non-coding RNA is filed under the name Hevea brasiliensis (rubber tree). The record is from RNAcentral. Lineage: Eukaryota; Viridiplantae; Streptophyta; Magnoliopsida; Malpighiales; Euphorbiaceae.
UCAUAUUCUAUAUUUGAGCUUAGGCACAGGCUCACUUGAGUUUAUGAAAACUUAAAUUCCAAAUUGGAUUAAAAUUUGUCUUGAAUUUUAAUGAUAAUCAACUAGAGCCUUUGAGCACCAUAUUGAGCCUGGGAUGAAUUCAAAAAUGUAAGACUAACAGAGUUGAGUUUUCUCUUGAGUUUUUGAGUCAAGCCGAGUUUGAGUAUACUUUAUCAAAUCAACUUAGCCCAAUUGCACCACCAUAAAUACGAGGCAAUCAAAUACAUCAAACAAUUCAAUUGAUAGCAAGCAAUAGAAAAGUAAAGCUUCAUCCAAAAUUAGGAAGAGGAAGUAUGCAAUAAGAAGCAUAAGUCAAUGCACUACAGCAAAUUGAUAUUCUCUCAAAAUGCACAAACACAUCAAAAUUUCCCACAAAAAAUCUUACUUGAGAGCGCAACAAUUUUAUAUCCUCUUGAGUUUCUGCAGUCUCAUAAGUUAAAUACAAAUGCCUCCCAACAUUAUCACGAGCAUAUGGAAAGAGAACAUCAGCGACAAAUGAUAUGGGAGUAGUAGUCCCUUCAAUGUCGAGCACAAUGCAGCG